RNAcentral lists this small nuclear RNA (18 nucleotides) under Arabidopsis thaliana (thale cress). RNAcentral's name for it is "snRNA_19036". The record is from RNAcentral. Lineage: Eukaryota; Viridiplantae; Streptophyta; Magnoliopsida; Brassicales; Brassicaceae.
GACGCGCAUGAAUGGAUU